UACGGAGGGUGCAAACGUUGCUCGGAAUCAUUGGGCGUAAAGCGCACGUAGGCGGUCCUGUAAGUCGGGUGUGAAAUCCCGGGGCUUAACCCCGGAAGUGCAUUCGAAACUGCAGGGCUUGAGUACUGGAGGGGGCAGCGGAAUUCCCGGUGUAGAGGUGAAAUUCGUAGAUAUCGGGAGGAACACCAGUGGCGAAGGCGGCUGCCUGGACAGAUACUGACGCUGAGGUGCGAAAGCGUGGGGAGCAAACAGG
Molecule: ribosomal RNA, 253 nt
Filed under: uncultured bacterium
Lineage: Bacteria
Description: partial 16S ribosomal RNA
Rfam family: Bacterial small subunit ribosomal RNA
Source: RNAcentral